RNAcentral lists this ribosomal RNA (601 nucleotides) under uncultured Bacillus sp. RNAcentral's name for it is "bacterial SSU rRNA". It matches the Rfam family "Bacterial small subunit ribosomal RNA", at positions 735 to 1334 of the family's 1533-position model. Lineage: Bacteria; Bacillati; Bacillota; Bacilli; Caryophanales; Bacillaceae. The record is from RNAcentral.
UGUAACUGACGCUGAGGAGCGAAAGCGUGGGGAGCGAACAGGAUUAGAUAUCCCUGGUAGUCCACGCCGUAAACGAUGAGUGCUAAGUGUUAGGGGGUUUCCGCCCCUUAAUGCUGCAGCUAACGCAUUAAGCACUCCGCCUGGGGAGUACGGUCGCAAGACUGAAACUCAAAGGAAUUGACGGGGGCCCGCACAAGCGGUGGAGCAUGUGGUUUAAUUCGAAGCAACGCCAAGAACCUUACCAGGUCUUGACAUCCUCUGACAAUCCUAGAGAUAGGACGUCCCCUUCGGGGGCAGAGUGACAGGUGGUGCAUGGUUGUCGUCAGCUCGUGUCGUGAGAUGUUGGGUUAGGUCCCGCAACGAGCGCAACCCUUGAUCUUAGUUGCCAGCAUUCAGUUGGGCACUCUAAGAGUGACUGCCGUUGACAAACCGGAGGAAGGUGGGGAUGACGUCAAAUCAUCAUGCCCCUUAGGACCUGGGCAACACACGUGCUACAAUGGACAGAACAAAGGGCAGCGAAACCGCGAGGUUUAGCCAAUCCCACAAUUCUGUUCUCAGUUCGCAUCGCAGUCUGCAACUCGACUGCGUGAACCUGGAAUCG